RNAcentral lists this ribosomal RNA (422 nucleotides) under uncultured bacterium. Its description in RNAcentral is "bacterial SSU rRNA". It matches the Rfam family "Bacterial small subunit ribosomal RNA", at positions 355 to 774 of the family's 1533-position model. The record is from RNAcentral.
UGAGGAAUAUUGGGCAAUGCCCGCAAGGGUGACCCAGCAACGCCGCGUGGAGGAUGAAUGCCCUAAGAUUGUAAACUCCUGUUAGAGGGGAAGAAUAGUACCGGUUGGACCGGUAUAUGACUGUACCCUCAGAGAAAGCCCCGGCUAACUACGUGCCAGCAGCCGCGGUAAUACGUGGGGGGCAAGCGUUGUCCGGAUUUACUGGGUGUAAAGGGCGCGCAGGCGGGAUAAAAAGUCAGUGGUGAAAUCCUACAGCUUAACUGUAGAACUGCCUUUGAUACUUUUAUUCUUGAGUUCGGGAGAGAGAGACGGAAUCCCAGGUGUAGUGGUGAAAUACGUAGAUAUCUGGAAGAACACCAGUUGCGAAGGCGGUCUCUUGGUCCGACACUGACGCUGAGGCGCGAAAGCGUGGGGAGCAAACA